UUUUGUCUCCAGCAGGCAGUGUGUAGCAAUGGCUUCUAGGUUGAAGAGAUACAACUAAAAAACUGGAUGUGACCCUCUUAAUAGUUGUGCGUCACUUAAUGAUGAGGAUAUGUUCUGAGAAAUGCAUCAUUAGGUGAUUUAAUCGUACUUACACAAACCUAAAUGUAGAGUCCGCUACACACCUAGGCUAUAUAAUACAGCCUACGGUAUCUAAGCUGCAAACCUGUACCGCAGGUGACUGUACUGAAUACUGCAAACAACUGUAACAAAUCAGUAAGGGAGAGCAACACAGAGAGACAGAAAGAGCAAGAAGGCAAAGAGAACACACUGAAGACAAACUUGGCCAUUUAAGUUCCUCCUUAGCCUCAUUUUCUCCAGCUGAAGAUCUUUAGAUUCCAUUAUCAUUUAUGGAAUGCAUUGGGAUGAACACCAAGUGACCAAUGGGAAACUUCUAGGAGGGUAUCUGGACCCCAGAAGAAUCUGUAUCAGGGCCCUUGAGCAGCAGCUAUGGGCCACACUAUGGAGUGUACUUUAAUUUUCAAUAAAUCU
Molecule: long non-coding RNA, 549 nt
Organism: Gorilla gorilla gorilla (western lowland gorilla)
Lineage: Eukaryota; Metazoa; Chordata; Mammalia; Primates; Hominidae
Exons: 4
Source: RefSeq, a predicted model, not a curated record